This 376-nucleotide unclassified non-coding RNA is filed under the name fungal sp. RNAcentral describes it as "partial internal transcribed spacer region". Lineage: Eukaryota; Fungi. The record is from RNAcentral.
AAGUCGUAACAAGGUUUCCGUAGGUGAACCUGCGAUCCAACGUUAAACCCCCCCGUGAACCUUCAGUGCGCUCGCACUUUCUUAGAAAGUAGCAAUCCCUGGUAAAUCAUUGCCGAACAAUUUUGAUUCAGGGACUUCUGCGUAGACUGUGCUUGAGCGUGAGGCAAGUGGCCUGGCAUUCCUCUGCUUGUUGGUGUCUGAAAGUGUCACCAGCUCUGUACGAAUGGCGCAGUCACGAUCGCUAGAGGCCGACACGGCCGGCGACCGGGUCACUGGGCGCGAGCCCCCCUCGUCACCUUUGCAUGAAAACGGGCCUGCGCUUAAUUGUGCGGCCACCAAACUCGAACAACUGUUAACAAUGGAUAUCUUGGUUCUC